RNAcentral lists this transfer RNA (8138 nucleotides) under Marmota monax (woodchuck). The stretch from base 135 to 206 matches the Rfam family "tRNA". The record is from RNAcentral. Lineage: Eukaryota; Metazoa; Chordata; Mammalia; Rodentia; Sciuridae.
UUUCUUUAAAAAAAAUUUGAGAAUUUCUUGAUUUUUUAAAAAUCUAAACCUCAUUAUCUUAAUUUUAAAUAGUAAAAUCUGGAUAGUAGUCUGUAGUAUGGAUUUAUUCUGUAUUAAAAAAUUUGGGGGGGGCUGGGGUUGUAGCUCAGUGGUAAAGUGCAUACUUAGCUUGUAUGAAGCCCUGGGUUUAAUCCCCAGCACCACCACCAAAAAAAAAAAAAAAAAAAAAAUACUAUUUUCCAGUCCUCAUGAGUAUAAUAAAAAUUGGGGUAAGGGAGGAGAGGAAGAUGUAUGUCCAAAAGACAGGCAGGUGUUAUUAGGACAAAGAAAACAAAGAAAUAAUAAAUGUUCUAGAAGAGAUGUGUAAUUCUAUAUACAUAUCUAUAUGUACCUUGACUAACCUUCCAGGGCAGUAGUAGAAUGCAAAGAGCCAUGUUCUCAAGUAUUUGCAUCUAAAGGUUUCUUGCACAACUGACUACUUGUUUGUAGUUGGUGCAUCACCUCACUGUUCUAGCCCUCAUAUUCUGCACUAGAAAACUAAGGGUAUUAGAUUUAUGAACAACUCUGAAUUAAAAUAAUCCAACCUUCUGACUCUCUACACAGGACAUCUGGAGGAAUGUACUUACGGCUGAAAUUUGACCAGCCUACUGUGUAACAAAGUAGUACCUCGUGUAAUUUUCAAUCUGUGUAUGGGGUGAAGGUGGGAGUUCAUAACCCACUUGAAUCAAAGUGUGGAAUAUGAUAUGUCAAGAAAUUUGUAAUGUUUUGAACAACCUUAGUUUCUCAUCUUUCAAACAGUAACCACAAUAUUUAACCCUUGCCAAGCUAAGCUAAGUGUAUGAAUGUCCAAUUCCUUUCACUGUGUCCAGAACAGAGUAGGUACUCAUAACUUACAGCAGUUGUUGUUGUUAUAAUUAUUAUUAUCUUUAUUAUUAUUUGCCAGACUUGAUGCCAGGUAUCAGGGGGAAGAUGAUAAAGGGUAAGACACAUCCCUUCUCCUUAAAUAGAUUUUAUUUGAGAAAAUGAGCCAUGUGUUCAGGGUAACUUAACAAAGCCUUCCAAGGAAUCAUUAAAGGAGUUGAACAGUUAGUGCUAGACUAUAAAGGAAGGAGUGCUUUGAGGGGACCAGGAGAGGGGAGGGGUGCAUCCUGAUGCAUCCUGAGUCACACACUUACACUUUGAGCGGGGGGUACCAGGGAUUGAACUCGGGCACUCGACCACUGAGUCACAUCCCCAGCCCUACUUUGUAUUUUAUUUAGGGUCAGGGUCUCAGAGUUACUUAGCACUUAGUUUUUUCUGAGGCUGGCUUUGAACUCACCAUUCUCCUGCCUCAGCCUCCAAGCCGCUGGGAUUACAGGCGUGCGCCACCGUGCCCGGCAGACCUGCACUUUCUGAGCCUUCUAAAGCAGUGGGUAGCAAAUAUGGGUCACCAAGUCACCGUCUGUGCAUGCCUUAAGCUUCUUGCUGGCACAGGAUGGUGAGAAUCUUUGGAGAUGCCUGGUUGAUCUGAUUAAAGGAUUCCCAAAGCCUGCGCAGAUGUGGACCUAAAGAAGCAGGGAGGGGACAGAGAGGCCUGGGGAGCUCUAGAUGAGGCCAACCCAGAGGCAGUGGGAUGCAGCUUAGGACAUGCCAAGCCCUUCCAGCCCUAAGAGGCUAAACUUGUCCACGUCAGAGCUUCAGAAGCCAGAGAUAUUUGUGGCCCUUUAGUUAGCUGAAAAACAUCUUUUCUUCUUGGAGCAGAGGGCCUGCGGCGGGGCAGAGAGUAGAAUGGGCAAGAAAGGAGGCAGAGUUAGCCCCUGGGUCAUUAGGCAGCCUGGUCCUGUUUUUAUUAAGGGUCUGACAGAUAAGGCUCUGGAAGCCUGGACCGGUGCCAGAACGCAGGGGUGUGGCGUGGGCUGCUGGGUUAAUGUUCAGAAGAGAGACCAUCAGCGCCCUCACUGGGUGAGCGUAAUUGCUCGCCUGUUAAGCCUGCAUUACAAGAUCUGAGGAAAAGGACCCACUGCCCCCACUCACCAGUUCCCCAUCUCUGUCAAGGGAAACCAAAAGCGAAUGGAUGUCACGAGGAUUUGGACAGAGCCUCAGAGACAGAAGCACUUGCAACUUUGGUGCACCAAACCUUGGCUUGCAAGAUGACCUUGACUUGUCAGAUCUCUUGACUCUGCUCAAAUCUCAGUCGUCCGAGCAAUUUUCUAUAUGGUCAACUCUUUGAGCAACCUGUCCCUAAACCAAGAGUUGUACCUGAAUGAUAUCAUAGUAUGAGCUCAAUUUCAAAAAGCACUUUUCUUUUUUCUCUUCAGGCCACUUAUUCCAGCCAUUGAACCAAGCUCUUUCCAGGCCACAGGUUCACAGAUUGGGAACCUAAGGCCUGGCAAAGGUGAUGUGUGUGUGUGUGUGUGUGUGUGUGUGUGUAUGCGAAUGAUCACAUGGCCCCUUAGACAAGGAACCUGGAAGGAGCCAGAAAUAGACCAAUAUUUCACAACACAGUUGAUGCCGCUUCUGGUUUGGGCUCAGGCAAAUAACGUAAGCUCUCUGAGCCCUAGUUUCAUCAUCUUUAAUAUAGGGGCAGGCAAUGUUGCUUAUUACACAGGGAUGGUGUGGGGAUCUAAGGGGUUAAUGAUAAGAAUGACAUCAAGCUCUGAGACUGGCUAGUUCCUAAAGGCCUUUAGGACAAGUGGAAUCUUGAAUCUGAAUUUCAGUAAAGGGUAAGACGUCCUCCAACACUAGGUCAGUUUCACCCUCAUAUCCACAGACAGCCCCAGUCCUGCGCGUACCUAGGCCAAGUGCAUAUCUGAUAGCCUCCCUCUUUCUCCUUCAUCAGCAAUUUUCAGGAGCACCCCCAUCUCCCAGCUCCUUUGCUAAUCUCCCUGUAUCUCUCUUGCUUUGCAGCAUGGUCAUAUUGGCUUUGGAUUUGGGGGGAGACGUUCCCCUGAUCCUUUGGAAUGGGCUUGAGAGUAAAAGCACAGAGGUUUGGUGGGGGAAAUUGGUCAAGGACAGGCCAAGGGGGUAUCACUGCAGUUCUUCAGAACAAACCAGCUUGGGGAAUCCUGCUACCCAAUCUCAAUUUCUCUUCUAUCCUCCUCUGGACAGGCUUUUAUGGCUUGUUCCUGUCUUCUUUUCCUUUCUCUCCCCCUCCCUUCUUUCCAUCCUUUUUUCCUUCACUUUGCAUGUUCAUUUCAAACAGGAUAAUGAUGCUCGGGAGAGGAUCACAUUGUGAAAUCUACCCCCAUAAAGUUCUUCUCCUCCCAGCUAGCUCACCAUUUGCAAAAUGAGGAAGAAUUAAAUUUAUUUGACAAGGUCAUUGUGAGGAUUCUGGAUAAUGCAUAGAGCCUGAUACAUGCUGGACUUUUGAUAAAUGGCUGUGACUCUGUUGGGGUGUCAAAUGCCAUUUGUAAUGGGGGACUCUAUACCUGUUGGGACUAUGCCUGUCUCUCCGUUUCCUAGAUCUGCUGAAUGUGUGAUACACAGGUCAAUGUGGCAGCUCUAAUAUGGGAAGAAAACAACAAGGUCCCCAGAGAUCUCUUCUCCAGGCUAAGAGGAGCUGGUUCUUCAGUGGUUCCUCAUGUGAUCUGGACCUUUUCUUGUUCUGUCCAUACUUCUUUGGGUUGAGCCCAAAUUUAUCAGUGUCCCUUUUAAAGGGACACCAGAAAUUAACUGUGUGUGUCAUGGGAAAAAUCACCUCUGAGGCUGCCCUGUCUUACUGUAGACCAUGGAAGUUAAUGCCUGCUGCCACCAACGACCCAUUCCAGGGAUGUUCAGUAAGAUUUCUGGAGAUAGAGGAACAAAUAAACACAUUAAAAAUACAUGUUCUUACAGGAGAUAAGAAGACUUCAGGAAUUCUGGAAUGUUCCAUUUCUUGAUCUGGGUGAUGGUUAUCUGGGUAACUCAUUUUGUAAUAAUUUGUUAAACUAAAUAUUUAAAAACAAUUUCCUUAUUGAGAUACAAUUCACUCAUUUCAAAUCUACAAUUCAUAUGUUUUUAUAAUAUUCUCAGAGUUGUGCAGUCAUCUUCACGUUCGAUUUUUAGAACUUUUCCAUUGCAUCAAAAAGAAACCCUAAGCAACUCAGUGAAACCCUGUUUCAAAACAACAACAACAAAACAAAAAAACAAACAAAAAUAGAAAGGUCUGGGGUAGCUCAGUGGUUAAGUGGCCCUGGGCUCAAUCCCUGGUACAAAAAAAGACAAGAGACCUUGUAUACUCCAGCCAUCAUCCUCCGCUAGCUCCAACCUCACCAGUCCUAAGCAACCACUAAUCUAUUUUCUAUCUCUAGAAUUACCUUUGGGUAAAAGGUGAGAUGUAACAGUAAGUGUUACCUGUCCCAUUUUACUUAUGGGAAAACUGAGGCUGAGAGCAGUAAAAGAAUUUACUCAAGCUUCAAGAUAAUAGAAGAAAUCCUUGUCAUACCACCUAAGUGCAGUUUGCUGCUUGGAGGGGAACCUGACACCCUGGUUCUGAUAAGCCCUGAGUAGCACUGGUGCCAGCUGCUGCCAUCAAAGCCUCCAGUCACUUAGCUGUCAUUUACUUGUGGUGGUCUGUGGGCAGAGUUCUUCCUUCUCCUUCUACUAGGUGCCCUAUCUUGCUGUUUCUAGUUUUGUCCAGGCACUACACAUCUCCAUUGCUUUGAAAGUUAAGGUAGGCACGUCUGUUGGGUUCUCCAGCAAGCAGAUACUUAGGUGGAGUUAAGUCUUGCAGGGAGUAAAACUUGGGAGAGGAAAAAGCAGAAUCAGGCAAAUUCAAUCUAAGGAAGUCUUUUUUUUUUAAAGAGAGAGAGAGAGAAUUUUAAAAUAUCUAUUUAUUUAUUUAUUUUUAGUUUUCGAUGGAUACAACAUCUUUGUUUGUAUGUGGUGCUGAGGAUCGAGCCCGGGCUGCACGCAUGCCAGGAGAGCGUGCUACCGCUUGAGCCACAUCCCCAGCCCCUAAGGAAAUCUUCGCCAGCCCACUGGGCAAUGCCAAGGCAGAUGUUCAUACUACCAUUUUUCUUAGUCAUUGACUGACUCCCAUCUGCCCCCUCCAAGGAACUUGUGACCUCCACUAAGAACCUGAAGUGGACCAUAAGGAAGCAGAUGAUUACCCUCUUCAAGUCCUUUUUGGAAGAAUAUCUGAUCCUUACAUGUCCUCAUCUGCCAGUGCCCCCAGACAAAGCUAGAAACCCCUGUAGGAAGAGGGAAUUCCUGGAAUCCAGAACCACUAACUGUAGACCCGACUAAACAUUAAAGGGCAGGUUGCUUCUGGUCUCUGUGCACCCCCUUUUCUGUUAGGAGCCAUUUGUCACCAUGUUGGGGGAAUUCUUCAGGGUCUUUGGUCCUUAGUGCUGAAGGACUUGGAAUUAGGUGGCUUGCUCUAAUGCACUCUGUGCUGUUAUUUCUGAGUGAAUUCAGAUCUCUGCUAAUGGUCAUAGUCACCAUUGUCAUUGUCAUCACCACCUUCACCAUGACCGUCUUCCCCAGCAUCAAAGAACAUUCUUAAAAUACCAACUCCUCUGUGAUGCCUGAUUGAAUUACAAUGCAAAGGAAAGAUUCCAACUCACUGUCUUCUAGACCUUCUUGUAUGAAGGUCAAUCAUAUACUAAACCAAACAGAGAAUAAACAGUGAAUUUCUGAGAUCCAUGGUCCUGGGCUUGCAAUUUCCUCUCUGUGAAAUAAGAAUGGCUUUGGCGGCCUCCUGCCCAGCCCUAAAGGAUCAGGGAGACUUGAGGAGAUAAUGGAGGUGAGAGCCUGUGAGCACUCCAUUCCACUCUUAUCAAAGCAUCUUUCGCCCGAGGCUCUUGAAACCUCUUAAAAGCACCAUCACAUUUUCAUCAUAUAAAAAUUGCCCAAGAGAGACUUUGUCAUUACCAGCUCUUGGUGGGAAUCUGGCAUUCAUCCUCACAUUCCUCUAUGAUCACAGAGUCUUGUUGAUCCAAAGAGACCACAAAGGGCAUCAUUCUUCUGGCCUAUCUGAGGAGAAGUCUGGGGCCAAAGGCAAAAGCACCAGAGGACCUUUUUGUGCCUCCCUCUGCAUGGGUCCAGGAAGUGGUUCACAAGUGUGGUCCUCAACACCCUGGUCCUCUUGGCAGGCCAACUCUUUUCCAAGCUAACUUUUAUUUAAUUCUACUUCCUACUGCAGACCCACUAAAAGGAUUUUGCCAGCUGUCCAUAUUUAUGUAGCUAGUAUGUCACAGGGACAGAGCAUGUCCAAGGUUCUGUGGGAACACGGAAGCCAGGGAAAGCAGUUAGGGACUUCCCUCCACCUCCUCAUUCUCAGGUGAGGCAUGCAGAGGGAGCAGGCGCAGAGCCUGCAGGACACGGCUCCCUGAUUGAAGUGUCCUUGCUCUUGCUUCCAGGGUGUACUGUAAGAUGGAAAGAACUUGGGCUUUAGAGGUAAUUGGAUCUGGUCUGCCACUUACUGACUGUUUGACCUUGGGCAAAUGACUUUACCACUCAGAGCCUCAGUUUCCUCAGCGGUUAAUUAGAGAUAAUAAUACUCACUCUGCCGAGUGACUGAAUCACAAUAGGUACUUGAUAAAUGGUAAUUAUAAUAAUCCUUAAAUUUUCUGCUAUAAAUUCCACAGGUAGCUAUUAAAAAUUUACUCUUUCUUUAUUCAUUUGUUCAAUGAAUAAAGAAAAAAGAAUGAAUGUUCCAUCCAUUCAUAAAAUAUUUAUGAAUUCAGAAGUGAGUUGGACUCAUAGGAGGUUCUACCAAGAAAUGGAAAGCAGGAUCCCUGGGGUUGGGGGUUUAACUCAGUGGCAGGGUACUUGCUUAGUACCUACAAGGCUCUGGGUUUGGUCCUUGGCACUGGGGGAAAAAAAUUAAAAAGGAAAGAAAAGAAAGAGAAAGCAGAAUCCCUGAGCUCAAGAAACUCAAACUUGGAAACAGUUGAAUUAUAAGAUGGGGACAGUUGUACCUUCUUGACUGUGUUGCUAUGACAGUUGAGUGAGCUAAGCUUGCCAGGUGUAUAGCUUGGUGUCUGGCCCCAAGUAGACUCAAUGAGGGUGUAACCAGACUGGGGUUGGGUCUGAUAUGGGACCUCCCAAUAUGGCCUUCACUUAGAUGGGCUUCUUUCAAGGAUCUGUGUACCUAAUUCUGUUUUUGUUGUCACUUUGUUUUGAUCUGGUUUUCAUUCCUGUAGAGGGCCUCUCAAGUUGCAUAACCUUCAGGGCCCACAAGUCUUGGAUUGCACUUCACAGGGGACUGGGUUUUAAAGUUGGAUGAUAAAAUAGAGAUCUCAUGCUCUGAGAGUCUGAGAACUACACAGGUAAUCAGGAUACCUUGAGAUCUGAAAGAAAAGUAUUAAUCAAGGAGAGCUAAAUAAUGGAACAAGGAUUUGAAAAUGGCAAGUUACAAGACUGAGAGGAAAAAAUGAGAUGAAGGCAUGUACUUUGAGCAGAAUCCCCAUUCCACUUUUAGUUUAUCUGUUCAAGAAAUAUGCUGAUUUUUGGCCUUUGAAGCCACAGUGUUCUGAUUUUACUUAUUUCUGUCACUAUGGCAGAUACCUGAGAUAAGCAACUUAUAAAGGAGAAGAUUUAUUUUGGCUUGUGGUUUCAGAGGUUCCGGUCCAUGAUCAGUUGGUCCUGUGGCUAUUAGAGCUGUGGCGAGGUGGUACCUCAUGUCACGACAGGAGGAACAAAACUGCUCACCUUAAAGCAAGCCAGGGGCGAGGAGGUGGAGGAGGACGGUUCCACAAUCCCCUUCAAGGACAGGCUCCCUACAACCGAAAGACCUUCCAGCAGCCCCACCUCUCACAUGUUCUGCCACCUCCCAAUAUAACCUCCCUAUGACCAAGCCUUGAACACAUGGGCCUUCUGGGGACACUGAAGAGCCAAAUCAUAGUGCACCAUGACUGUGGACAGACCAAGCAACCUUUUCAGAAUUUCAGUUUUCUCAUGUAUAAAAUGAUGAUAAUUGUAAUAUUAUUUAGUAAUGCAAGUAAUAUUGUGUGAAAUUAGAGAGAUAUUUUUGAGAAAGUGCUUUAUAAUCCGUAAAGAGCUCUGUUGGUCCAUAUUGAUUCCAAUUCAUUUUCAGGAUUUUCCCAGAAGAAAACCUGGCUCAUUACAUGAUUUUAAGCAAUUCUCUUAACUUUUCCAAGCCUUGGUUUCCGCAUCUCAAUCAUGAAAAUAAUUAUAGUUUGCCUUCAGUGCAGUUAUUAAACACCAAUGAAGUC